UACGUAGGGGGCAAGCGUUGUCUGGAGUUACUGGGCGUAAAGGGGGCGUAGGUGGCCAAUUAAGUCAAGAGUGAAAUUCCACGGCUCAACUGUGGGAGAGCGCUUGAACCUGGAUGGCUUGGGGUCAGGUCAGGAAGGUGGAAUUGUCAGUGUAGGGGUGAAAUCCGUAGAUAUUGGCAAGAACGCCAGUGGUGAAGACGGUCUUCUGGACUGAUACUGACACUGUGGCACGAAAGCCAGGGGAGCGAACGGG
RNAcentral lists this ribosomal RNA (253 nucleotides) under uncultured bacterium. RNAcentral describes it as "partial 16S ribosomal RNA". It matches the Rfam family "Bacterial small subunit ribosomal RNA", at positions 524 to 776 of the family's 1533-position model. The record is from RNAcentral.